UUUCAUUGAGGAAGCGAUGAACAGUCAUUCUUAACUGGGCACUUUAAUGGCUGGGAGCGAGUAGUGCAACCGACCCGAUCAUG
This 83-nucleotide non-coding RNA is filed under the name Paenibacillus sp. RNAcentral's name for it is "c-di-GMP-II sequence". It matches the Rfam family "Cyclic di-GMP-II riboswitch aptamer". The record is from RNAcentral. Lineage: Bacteria; Bacillati; Bacillota; Bacilli; Caryophanales; Paenibacillaceae. RNAcentral also lists the same sequence under 1 other name.